UCAUCAGAGCCUCCACAGGACCAAGGGACUCCCUUCCCCCUCCCCCCAGUGAUGCCAGAUAAGGCCAUCCUUUGCUAUAUAUCCAGCUGGAGUCAUGGGUCGCCCUAUGGACUCUUUGGUUGGUGGUUUAAUCCCUGGGAGCUUUGGGGGGGUCUGAUGGGAGAGCUAUAUGUCUCUUUACCAGAGGUAUGGAAAUGACUGGUUUUGAUAGAAGGGGAACACGUUCACAAGUUCCUGAGGAAUUCUGGCUUUUAUCUAACUGCCAGAAAUUCUCCUAUAGUCUACGCUGAACUCAUUUCUGGAUAGUUGGACUGCCAUUUGGAGUUUCCUAGGGAACUGACAAGCAGGAAGUACACGUGGUUUUUUAUUCUGACUCAGGUGUUUCCCUCAUUGGUUGUGGUCUAAUCUCAGUCUUUCAUGAUUGGCCAAUUAAAAAAAA
Molecule: long non-coding RNA, 439 nt
Filed under: Rattus norvegicus (Norway rat)
Lineage: Eukaryota; Metazoa; Chordata; Mammalia; Rodentia; Muridae
Description: long non-coding RNA NONRATT020399
Source: RNAcentral